ACCCUGCUUGGUUCCACCCUGAGCAGGAACCAUCUGUUUGUGGCGGGAAAGGUCCUCCUGGGCGCACUGGUUCAGGCCAACCACAUGGACGAGGCCAAGUUCAUCCGUACUUAUAACGACUUUGUGGACUACCUGAGUGACCCCUCCAAGCGGAAUGACAUUGAGAGGGAGCUGGCUGAGGCAAAGAUCCAUCAUGUGAACAUGAUAGAUGUCCUCUUUGAGCUGGUGCUGUUUGGGAUGAUGACAGCUCAGAAGUCCCUGAUGGUG
This is a long non-coding RNA of Salvelinus namaycush (lake trout), 267 nucleotides long. RefSeq lists it as uncharacterized. The record is from RefSeq and is a predicted model, not a curated record. Lineage: Eukaryota; Metazoa; Chordata; Actinopteri; Salmoniformes; Salmonidae. The transcript is spliced from 3 exons.